RNAcentral lists this long non-coding RNA (898 nucleotides) under Prunus persica (peach). RNAcentral's name for it is "long non-coding RNA (PPER_LNC006566)". Lineage: Eukaryota; Viridiplantae; Streptophyta; Magnoliopsida; Rosales; Rosaceae. The record is from RNAcentral.
AAUAGAAGAAGUACCCCAGUUGGGUCAGUUCCAGGGAGGAGAGACAAUUGGGCUGAGUUUUCAGCUGAGGAUGAAGAAGAUUUGGCUAGAAGCUCCUCCUUUGGCUUGAGUAAUUUGUUCUCAACUUUCUCAAGGGCCCCUUGUAGUUUGUACAGCUCCUUCAAGCUAUUUGUCCAAUCUCCUAAUCCCUUGGAUCUUCAUUGUGAUCUGCUUGUGUCUCUCCCCUCGUCUCCUUUCGACCCAGGUUCGUCCUUCCUGUCUAUCAUAACAAAAACACAGUACUUUAUAUUGAGCACUGUUGAGAUUGUCUACUAAUAGUAUCUUUUUUCUUUUUUUUUUCUUUUUUUAUGAAAACUGAAAUACAUUAAAAGUUAGAUCCCGUAGGGAUCCUAAGACCAUACAAAUAAAAAUAAACUCUAGCAAGGACAUCCAAAGGGAAACGACUAAACCAAACACACGAGUUGUUAUAAUUGUGUCCUUUUUUUGCUAACUGAUCCGCAACCAUAUUAGCCUCUCUGACUACGAUCUAAAUAUUUAUAUUUCUGACGUCCCCUCUACUUAAUAGGUUUUAUCUGUAUUUGCCUGUGCAGAACAAUGGAGGAUGGUUUGUGUGACUCUAAACAAGAUAAUAUGGGAAGAACUGUGAUCUGCUUAAGCACUUGGGAGGUCGAUCGAGAAGAAAUGAGAGGACAGAUUCAAGUAGAUAUGGAGAACCGAGGGCCUAAUAAUUGAUCAAGUGACCAGUUGAUAUACGCUUAGUUUGAAAGAGUUGUAUAGGUUAAAGGGAGCUCUUGGGGAAGUUCAGGACAGAUUACUCAAGAGAAAGAAGGAGCUUCCAGUCAAGACUUCUUCAUCUCCUCAGCUGAGAAUCCUGCCGAAUUCUCUCGGACUACUUCCC